CACCCCUGGCAAUAGACAAAGAGACACCUUGUUGGUGGAAUUCUUCUUAUAUCAGUCAGGGGAAGAGCAAAUGGCAGCCCUUUGUUCAUCCUAGCUUGAUGCCUGGUUUGGUGGACAAAGCUGUCUUACGCUUAGGACUCAUAA
Mastomys coucha (southern multimammate mouse) is the source of this 144-nucleotide small nucleolar RNA. RefSeq annotates it as small nucleolar RNA SNORA48. The transcript has a single exon. The record is from RefSeq and is a predicted model, not a curated record. NCBI's taxonomy places the organism in Eukaryota, Metazoa, Chordata, Mammalia, Rodentia, Muridae.